Molecule: non-coding RNA, 703 nt
Organism: Odocoileus virginianus texanus
Lineage: Eukaryota; Metazoa; Chordata; Mammalia; Artiodactyla; Cervidae
Source: RefSeq, a predicted model, not a curated record
GUGUCUUUCCUGUGGUCACACGUCAGCGUCAUUAAAACAGUCCAGAGACUUGGAUUCUGUGCCUGGAGAACCUGAUUCAGUAGAUUUCAGCAGGAUCAGAGUGACUAUGUUUAAACAAAACAAAACAGAAAAUCUCCUCUAGUCAUGUUGAAGGGUAGCCUAGAUUAGGAAUGACUGGGCUGUGUGUGCAGAUCACUGAGAGUAUGAAGAAGUGAGACAUCCACUCGUCCUCAAAAUUGUUUAAUCUCUGAAAGAGUUCAGAGUCUACUCUUUAAAAUAGGUUCUACUGUGCCAGGAAUACAGUGACAACAGGUUGAUUGAUUCAACUGUGUCAGAAUAAAUUGUCAAAGAUCUCAGAUGGGCAGAAGAGAUUCCUGAGUGUCUGUUCAGUGACGUGGUACACAUUCUGUGUAGAUAAAGUAUUGUAAAUACGGCUUGCCUCCUGGCACGAGCAUACGAUGGAUAAUAUUUUUGGAAAAUAAUUUUGAAAUGUGUAUUAAAGACGUGAAAGUGCACACAAGUGAGAAGUCAACUUCUAGGAACCAGUUCUGAGGAAAUCAUCCUAAGUAUAUUUUAAAAACUCUACGUGGCUAAAUGUGCUUAUAAUUGUGAAAAAAUGUAGAUCUCUGACAAGAAAUAUGAAGUCACAUUAACUAUGCUCAUAUUACAAUUAUAUUAACACAAGCAAGGCAACAAAAUGAAA